Molecule: long non-coding RNA, 224 nt
Filed under: Ananas comosus (pineapple)
Lineage: Eukaryota; Viridiplantae; Streptophyta; Magnoliopsida; Poales; Bromeliaceae
Description: long non-coding RNA (ACOM_LNC011337)
Source: RNAcentral
AAUAUAUAUAUAUAUAUACAUUCGGAGUCCGGUUAUGAUACUUGUAAGUUUUCUGUCAUUAGAUUUACUUUUUUGAUUAUUUUCAUCCAUUAUAUUAUACUAUUCAAGCAAUCAUCCACUUAAUUCUAAAUUGUCAAUAUCAUUCUAACUGCAUAUUUCUUAAUUCAAGAACCAAAAGCCUAUAAGCAUCAAUAACUUAAUAUUUUUCAAAUCACUAAACCUUU